UCCCAACACCAGAGGAAGAGAUCUCAAAGAUGAAAGUCUGUCUGCUUUUUUCUGAACGAAGUACUUCCUGUGGCAGUGGGUCCCCGGCUUAGAGUGAGCUGGAUUCCUCUGUGGAGAAGAAUAGACAUAGCACCACAAGUUCUGAAUUGGAAUGAAAGCUAUGACAUCAUCAUCUUAUGGAAC
This 183-nucleotide long non-coding RNA is filed under the name Capra hircus (goat). RNAcentral's name for it is "lncRNA (ENSCHIG00010004867.1)". Lineage: Eukaryota; Metazoa; Chordata; Mammalia; Artiodactyla; Bovidae. The record is from RNAcentral.